Molecule: ribosomal RNA, 468 nt
Filed under: uncultured bacterium
Lineage: Bacteria
Description: partial 16S ribosomal RNA
Rfam family: Bacterial small subunit ribosomal RNA
Source: RNAcentral
GACGAACGCUGGCGGCGUGCUUAACACAUGCAAGUCGAACGGAAAGGCCCUGCGUUUGUGGGGUGCUCGAGUGGCGAACGGGUGAGUAACACGAGCGUAACCCGCCCCUGACUUUGGGAUAACUUCAGGAAACUGGGGCUAAUACCGGAUAGGAGCCCCUGCUGCAUGGUGGGGGUUGGAAAGUUUCGGCGGUUGGGGAUGGACUCGCGGCUUAUCAGCUUGUUGGUGGGGUAGUGGCUUACCAAGGCCUUGACGGGUAGCCGGCCUGAGAGGGUGACCGGCCACAUUGGGACUGAGAUACGGCCCAGACUCCUACGGGAGGCAGCAGUGGGGAAUAUUGCACAAUGGGCGGAAGCCUGAUGCAGCAACGCCGCGUGCGGGAUGACGGCCUUCGGGUUGUAAACCGCUUUCGCCUGUGACGAAGCGUGAGUGACGGUAAUGGGUAAAGAAGCACCGGCUAACUACGUG